RNAcentral lists this long non-coding RNA (374 nucleotides) under Lathyrus oleraceus (garden pea). Its description in RNAcentral is "Pisum sativum (pea) long non-coding RNA (PSAT_LNC010666)". Lineage: Eukaryota; Viridiplantae; Streptophyta; Magnoliopsida; Fabales; Fabaceae. The record is from RNAcentral.
UUCACAGUCGAUAAACUUUUUGCUAAGGUAAAUUGCAUGCUCUUUUCGACAAGACUCGUCAUGCUGACCCAAUACACCUCGUAGACCCCUCGAAGGCCGUCAAGUACAGAUUUAACAGUUGCUCCUUCCACAGGAAGUAUCAGAAUCAGAGGUUCCUGCAACUUUUCCUUUUAUUUUUUCAACGCCCCUUGGCAAUCAUUAUUUCGCCUGACCGUUUGAUCUUUCUAUCAAUAUCUGAAUAUGAGUUCACCCGUGGCGGUUAGAUGAGAUGUGAACCAUGACAGGUAGUUCAAUCUUUCUAAGAAACCACGAACCUCUUUCUUUAUUCUCGGUUCAGGCAUUUGUUUUUUUUUUCUUUUUUUUUUUUUUUUUUU